UGCAUAUCCCAAAAGCGGAGGAAAAGAAACCAACAGGGAUUGCCCUAGUAACGGCGAGUGAAGCGGCAACAGCUCAAAUUUGAAAGCUGGCUCCGGCCCGCAUUGUAAUUUGCAGAGGAUGCUUCUGGUGAGGUGCCUUCCGAGUUCCCUGGAACGGGACGCCAUAGAGGGUGAGAGCCCCGUAUGGAUGGACACCAAACCUGUGUGAAGCUCCUUCAACGAGUCGAGUAGUUUGGGAAUGCUGCUCUAAAUGGGAGGUAAAUCUCUUCUAAAGCUAAAUACCGGCCAGAGACCGAUAGCGCACAAGUAGAGUGAUCGAAAGAUGAAAAGCACCUUGAAAAGGGGGUUAAACAGUACGUGAAAUUGUUGAAAGGGAAGCGCUUGUGACCAGACUUGCGCCGGGCAGCUCAUCAGGGGUUCUCCCCUGUGCACUCUGCCCGGCUCAGGCCAGCAUCGGUUCUCGUGGGAGGAUAAGAACGGUAGGAACGUGGCCCCCUUCCGGGGGGGUGUUAUAGCCUACCGUACGAUACUCCCGUGGGGACCGAGGUUCGCGCUCCGCAAGGAUGCUGGCGUAAUGGUCAUCAGCGACCCGUCUUGACACCGGACCAAGCG
Molecule: ribosomal RNA, 612 nt
Filed under: Cytospora schulzeri
Lineage: Eukaryota; Fungi; Ascomycota; Sordariomycetes; Diaporthales; Cytosporaceae
Also listed under: 1 other name
Description: partial 28S large subunit ribosomal RNA
Rfam family: Eukaryotic large subunit ribosomal RNA
Source: RNAcentral